This 546-nucleotide ribosomal RNA is filed under the name uncultured bacterium. RNAcentral describes it as "bacterial SSU rRNA". It matches the Rfam family "Bacterial small subunit ribosomal RNA", at positions 850 to 1398 of the family's 1533-position model. The record is from RNAcentral.
AGCGAAAGCGUUAAGUAUUCCACCUGGGGAGUACGCCGGCAACGGUGAAACUCAAAGGAAUUGACGGGGGCCCGCACAAGCGGAGGAACAUGUGGUUUAAUUCGAUGAUACGCGAGGAACCUUACCCGGGCUUGAAUUGCAACUGAAUGAUGUGGAGACAUGUCAGCCGCAAGGCAGUUGUGAAGGUGCUGCAUGGUUGUCGUCAGCUCGUGCCGUGAGGUGUCGGCUUAAGUGCCAUAACGAGCGCAACCCUUAUCGAUAGUUACCAUCAGGUUAUGCUGGGGACUCUGUCGAGACUGCCGUCGUAAGAUGUGAGGAAGGUGGGGAUGACGUCAAAUCAGCACGGCCCUUACGUCCGGGGCUACACACGUGUUACAAUGGGGGGUACAGAAGGCAGCUACACGGCGACGUGAUGCUAAUCCCUAAAGCCUCUCUCAGUUCGGAUUGGAGUCUGCAACCCGACUCCAUGAAGCUGGAUUCGCUAGUAAUCGCGCAUCAGCCACGGCGCGGUGAAUACGUUCCCGGGCCUUGUACACACCGCCCGUC